UACGGGAGGCAGCAGUAGGGGAAUCUUCCGCAAUGGACGAAAGUCUGACGGAGCAACGCCGCGUGAACGAUGAAGGCUUUCGGGUCGUAAAGUUCUGUUGUUAGGGAGACAAGUACCGGAGUAACUGCCGGUACCUUGACGGUACCUAACCAGAAAGCCACGGCUAACUACGUGCCAGCAGCCGCGGUAAUACGUAGGUGGCAAGCGUUGUCCGGAAUUAUUGGGCGUAAAGCGCGCGCAGGUGGUUCUUUUAAGUCUGAUGUGAAAGCCCACGGCUCAACCGUGGAGGGUCAUUGGAAACUGGGGAACUUGAGUGCAGAAGAGGAAAGUGGAAUUCCACGUGUAGCGGUGAAAUGCGUAGAGAUGUGGAGGAACACCAGUGGCGAAGGCGACUUUUCUGGUCUGUAACUGACACUGAGGCGCGAAAGCGUGGGGAGCGAACAGGGAUUAGAUACC
Molecule: ribosomal RNA, 456 nt
Filed under: uncultured bacterium
Lineage: Bacteria
Description: bacterial SSU rRNA
Rfam family: Bacterial small subunit ribosomal RNA
Source: RNAcentral